Maniola jurtina (meadow brown) is the source of this 2935-nucleotide long non-coding RNA. RefSeq lists it as uncharacterized. NCBI's taxonomy places the organism in Eukaryota, Metazoa, Arthropoda, Insecta, Lepidoptera, Nymphalidae. The transcript has 2 exons. The record is from RefSeq and is a predicted model, not a curated record.
UCUAAGCAAAGGCAGAGCGCGCUCUAUAGAUCUCACCCUUAGAGUUAAAACGAAAAGUCUGGCAAAGUCAAAGCAUGCUCUAUUAAUCUUAGCCCCAGGGCACAAAAGCUAAAUCUAACGUUAAUAUACAACAUUCACAUAAUUUUUAGUUAAAAAAUUUGAUUGUAGUUUUUUUUUAAUUUUUUUACAACAAAGCGUAUUAAAGUAAACAAGGAAUGCAAUUCAAGCAACACUAGCGCCUUUUUUCAAUAUAUAAAAAUAACUACAUACUUACAAUUAUUUUUAGAAUACCAAAGCAAUGUGUUUAAUUAUUAUUAAUAUUUAAUGUUUAAAAUACAAAAACUUUUGUGUGCUUUGUAGCAGGACCAAUAGAAAAUAUUUAUAAAUUAUUUCCAUCUUUACAUAGUUCUUUACAUGACUUUUUAUACAGCGUGACUACAUUUCAAAAAUAUUUAUAAUGAUAACAAAAUAUAUCAAUACUACUUUUUUUUUUUUUGUAAAAAGAAAUAACCAUACAUAAUACAAAAGUCAUUUAAUUAUUAUAUUAUGUAAUAUACUUUCUCCGGUUAUAUGUCUGUCUGUUCGUUACCCAUAUGUUCGCGCAUCGUUCAUCCGACUGAGUUGAAACUUUGUUCAGUAUUUGUCGGCACUUGCGUGAAGGUUUCGCAAAUAGAUCGAGAAAUAGGGAUGGUGCCUAACUGCCUACUAGUCAAAUCAGCGACUUUUUAUCAAACGCUCGCUUAGUAAGGGUCAGGAAGCUUGUAUGAAAUAUAUAGAUUAUAGAAGUGACGUCAUAAACAUUUGACGAAACUUGGCGUACCUACUUUUUUAGCUAAAUCGAUAAUUUAAAAUGGUUAGCAAACUUAAACCUAACAGGGGAACACGAUUUUAUUUGAUAUAGGCAUCAUCCCAAAUAGGUUCAGCGUUCCUUUUGCUGUACAUAUAAAAUAUAAGGUUUAUAAGGUUGUCUGUCAAAUAAAACGGUGCGGAGCGGUGAUGGUUUUUACGUAUGUAAGGACGCUCGAUAUCCGGUGGUACAUCCUGUAUUAACCAUUCCUCCAAAUUUCCCAUGUUUGGGCACAGGUGUCCCUGCAGCCAACUACCACAAACCUAUUUGUAGCUUUCGUAAACCUAACGAUAUGCAGAAAUUAGUUAGGUCUCAUUGAUUCUUAGGUGAUGGUUUUAUUCGAGCAAUCAAAUUUUUAAGAGAUCACGUAGUCUAUUAAUAAAUAAUCUGUUCGGUCUGCUUAAUACAUCUACGGUCCGCUCCGCUUCAGAUACAAGCACACUUAAAAAGACGUUGGUCGACUAAACUCAACUCCAUUCCGCUCCGCUUAAGUUGGUAUACACCCUUAACGCUUUAAAUAAAUUAUAAUACAUAUUUUGGAAACCUUUAGCAAAGCUUUUGGCUACACGCCAUUUACUACAUUACUGUAAAAAUUUUGAGGUAGUUUUUUAUUCAACCAAUUCAUUAAUGUUUUGAUUAUAAAUAAGUAAUUAUGUUUUUUUAAAUAAUAUUUCUUAAAUAAAUUAGGUAUAAUUAAUUAAUAAGCUACCACGAACUCCGGUCCAAUUUAAAUCAUAGAUCACUGGAAGGUUAAUAUGUUGACGAGAUAAAAUAGAGACGCAAUAGAAGGUACUCGUAGUCCAUACAACUCGUAAUAAUAGGUGCACUCACACAUACUACUCCUAAUACGUAAUUAAAUCAGUUCGCUUGUAUCCUCCAUACAAGAUUUAAUUAACUAUAAUUAUUACUGAAACACCAGCCUGUCGGCACUCAAUUUGCGUCUGGAUAACUAUUAAAAGGCCGGUUGAGCUGAGCAGUGAGACUGGCUGAGGUCUGGUCUGAGCAAAGCCUAUUUGAAACUCUUUGCGGAGUGAUCCUCCUGUAUCUGGAAGGUACUAUUAAGUAUUAGAUGAAAAGAAAGAAGGUUCAGACUUAUGGGCAAUGUCGACAAUCGCAUGAAUGUAAAUAGGCACGAGUUUCUCCACUCGCUUUGUCUUUAUUUGACUAAGGUGACCCAAUACCAUCUGAGCUGAAAAGAGUCAACCAAAUGCCGGCCGAGCAGAAAAAAUCGCCAGAGUGAGGGAACUCUCGGUUUGAUCCUGAAUCGAUGUUAUGUCAAAUAUUAGGUGACGCUACCUAGCGUCAAAUGUAGGAAAAUUUGACGCCUGCCAGUGAUGUCGAAGCCUCGUCGUUUCGUUACAAGUUUCCUAACUGUCAUGAACUGUGGUCUCGCUGAGUUCAACUCAUGCCUCUUUAAAGUCUAGGUGCAACUGUUAUCGGGCGUAGUAUUGAGCGGACCUUCUGUUACCUCUCUAAUCUCUAUUAUAUGGCAUUGCUGAGCCAUGCUUGUUAGCGAAGGAAAUUAAAAGCUAAAAUACAAAAUGUUAGAAAAAUACUAAAGCCUCUUUUCACUGAUAAAGCAUAUUUUAUUUCUCGUACGAAGCUCGUAAGUUAUAAUCGACGCGUUCAAAAAUUUUAGGAAACCCGAUUAAAUACUUAAACCACUACACAUCACUAAAACUAAAUUCACAAUCUUACAAGUAAUAACGAUGCCGAUAGUUUUUAUAACAUUUAAUAUUUUAAAAGUCAUUUAUCUCGUUUAACAGCUAGGACCAGAGACAGUUAAGCCGUUUUGGAAUACAACAAAAUAUAAACGAUAAUAAUUGUGAGAAGAAAAUCUAAAUUUUCGUAUGAGAUUACACAAUUGGGUAGGUAUAAUAAAGUAUUAAACACGAGGACGAAAAUCAAGUAAUAUACAAGUCGAAUUGCCGAAGUUGACAAAGGUCACAUUAUUCGCAAUACAGUCAAUCGGUCUAAACCAGAAGCGAGUGCGCGUUGAUUUUUUAUAGCAGAAUGACACCUGUUUUUCUACUCGUUAGUUUUAGAACGACCGAGUAGUCGAACCCGGUCUAUUUCAGACAAAAAAGG